RNAcentral lists this ribosomal RNA (281 nucleotides) under uncultured Methanomicrobia archaeon. Its description in RNAcentral is "partial 16S ribosomal RNA". It matches the Rfam family "Archaeal small subunit ribosomal RNA", at positions 322 to 603 of the family's 1478-position model. Lineage: Archaea; Methanobacteriati; Methanobacteriota; Methanomicrobia. The record is from RNAcentral.
CCUACGGGGGGCAGCAGGCGCGAAAACUUUACAAUGCGGGAAACCGUGAUAAGGGGACACCGAGUGCCAGCGUCAUACGCUGGCUGUCCGGGUGUGUAAAAUACACCUGUUAGCAAGGGCCGGGCAAGACCGGUGCCAGCCGCCGCGGUAACACCGGCGGCCCGAGUGGUGAUCGUGAUUAUUGGGUCUAAAGGGUCCGUAGCCGGUUUGGUCAGUCCUCCGGGAAAUCUGAUAGCUUAACUAUUAGGCUUUCGGGGGAUACUGCCAGACUUGGAACCGGG